GCCUCCUUAGCUCAGAUGGCCAGAGCACCGCACUUGUAAUGCGUAGGUCGUCGGUUCGAAUCCGACAGGGGGCUCCG
This 77-nucleotide transfer RNA is filed under the name Streptomyces collinus Tu 365. Its description in RNAcentral is "tRNA-Thr". It matches the Rfam family "tRNA". Rfam says of the family: Transfer RNA (tRNA) molecules are approximately 80 nucleotides in length. Their secondary structure includes four short double-helical elements and three loops (D, anti-codon, and T loops). The record is from RNAcentral. Lineage: Bacteria; Bacillati; Actinomycetota; Actinomycetes; Kitasatosporales; Streptomycetaceae.